RNAcentral lists this ribosomal RNA (706 nucleotides) under Triticum aestivum (bread wheat). RNAcentral describes it as "partial small subunit ribosomal RNA". The record is from RNAcentral. Lineage: Eukaryota; Viridiplantae; Streptophyta; Magnoliopsida; Poales; Poaceae.
CUAAAUAUGAAUCAUCCUCAUGCAUCUAUAUCUAACAUACUAAAUUUUAUGUGGUGCAUAUGGAAAGCCAGAAAUGAUAAGCUUUUUGACAGACGCAAUUCUCAACCUCAUCAUGUUCACACUGCUGCAAAAGCUUUGUCUGACCAAUAUAUGACUGUGUCAAUUUCUUCUAAUCAGGGACAAGCUAUUGAUCAAGUUCAUCAGCAAGGAAAUAGUUGUGUUAUUCCUGCUCAAGGGCACACUCUCAAAUCUGAUCUUCUUAUAUCUGGAGCAAAAAUUUAUUCUGAUGCUGCUUUUAAAUGUGCAAAGGUUCCAGGAUUACCACAUGGCACAACAGCUACAGGAGUAGGAGUGUUUCUCAGUUUUUCUCAGGACCAAGCGGAAGUGAAUGUGCAAAUUCAAGCUUCUACCCAGAACACCAGCUCGCCACUUCAAGCAGAAGCUCUUGCUUUGCUUUUUGCAGCUCAAGUCGCCCGUAGACUUCAGAUCUCUAGGCCUACUUUUCUUACUGAUUGCCUCUCUUUGGCAAAAGCAGCGGCGGCAAGAAGUGUAUUGGCAGAUUCCACCCCUUGGACCAUCAGAACUUCUCUAGCUGAAUUUUUCUCCUUUACAAAUGAUCUCCAAGCACAGGUGUAUCACAUAUCAAGAGAGAUCAAUGGUAUUUCUCAUAAUGUGGCUCAUCAGGUUCUUAGAAGUUUACCAGAAC